UGGGGGAUAUUGCUCAAUGGGCGAAAGCCUGAUGCAGCGACGCCGCGUGGGGGAUGAAGGCUUUCGGGUUGUAAACCUCUUUCGCUAUCGAACAAGGCCCGCUUAGGGUGGGUUGAGGGUAGGUGGAGAAGAAGCGCCGGCUAACUACGUGCCAGCAGCCGCGGUAAUACGUAGGGCGCGAGCGUUGUCCGGAAUUAUUGGGCGUAAAGGGCUUGUAGGCGGCUUGUUGCGCCUGCUGUGAAAACGCGGGGCUUAACUUCGCGCGUGCAGUGGGUACGGGCAGGCUUGAGUGUGGUAGGGGUGACUGGAAUUCCAGGUGUAGCGGUGGAAUGCGCAGAUAUCUGGAGGAACGCCGAUGGCGAAGGCAGGUCACUGGGCCAUUACUGACGCUGAGGAGCGAAAGCAUGGGUAGCGAGCAGG
Molecule: ribosomal RNA, 420 nt
Filed under: bacterium
Lineage: Bacteria
Description: partial 16S ribosomal RNA
Rfam family: Bacterial small subunit ribosomal RNA
Source: RNAcentral